RNAcentral lists this ribosomal RNA (229 nucleotides) under uncultured bacterium. RNAcentral describes it as "partial 16S ribosomal RNA". It matches the Rfam family "Bacterial small subunit ribosomal RNA", at positions 568 to 796 of the family's 1533-position model. The record is from RNAcentral.
UGCGUAGGCGGAAUAUUAAGUCAGUGGUGAAAUCCUGCGGCUCAACCGUAGAACUGCCAUUGAUACUGAUAUUCUUGAAUAUAGUUGAGGUAGGCGGAAUGUGUAAUGUAGCGGUGAAAUGCUUAGAUAUUACACAGAACACCGAUUGCGAAGGCAGCUUACUAAACUAUUAUUGACGCUGAUGUACGAAAGCGUGGGGAGCGAACAGGAUCAGAUACCCUGGUAGUCC